Molecule: ribosomal RNA, 912 nt
Filed under: uncultured Flavobacteriaceae bacterium
Lineage: Bacteria; Pseudomonadati; Bacteroidota; Flavobacteriia; Flavobacteriales; Flavobacteriaceae
Description: bacterial SSU rRNA
Rfam family: Bacterial small subunit ribosomal RNA
Source: RNAcentral
AUGCAAGCCGAGGGGUAUAGUUCUUCGGAGCUAGAGACCGGCGCACGGGUGCGUAACGCGUAUGCAAUCUACCUUUUACAGAGGGAUAGCCCAGAGAAAUUUGGAUUAAUACCUCAUAGCAUAGCAGUAUCGCAUGAUACCACUAUUAAAGUUCCAACGGUAAAAGAUGAGCAUGCGUCCCAUUAGCUAGAUGGUAAGGUAACGGCUUACCAUGGCUACGAUGGGUAGGGGUCCUGAGAGGGAGAUCCCCCACACUGGUACUGAGACACGGACCAGACUCCUACGGGAGGCAGCAGUGAGGAAUAUUGGUCAAUGGGCGCAAGCCUGAACCAGCCAUGCCGCGUGCAGGAAGACGGUCCUAUGGAUUGUAAACUGCUUUUGCACAGGAAGAAACACUCCCUCGUGAGGGAGCUUGACGGUACUGUGAGAAUAAGGAUCGGCUAACUCCGUGCCAGCAGCCGCGGUAAUACGGAGGAUCCAAGCGUUAUCCGGAAUCAUUGGGUUUAAAGGGUCCGUAGGCGGUUUAGUAAGUCAGUGGUGAAAGCCCAUCGCUCAACGGUGGAACGGCCAUUGAUACUGCUAGACUUGAAUUAUAAGGAAGUAACUAGAAUAUGUAGUGUAGCGGUGAAAUGCUUAGAGAUUACAUGGAAUACCAAUUGCGAAGGCAGGUUACUACUUAUGGAUUGACGCUGAUGGACGAAAGCGUGGGUAGCGAACAGGAUUAGAUACCCUGGUAGUCCACGCCGUAAACGAUGGAUACUAGCUGUUGGGGGCAACUUCAGUGGCUAAGCGAAAGUGAUAAGUAUCCCACCUGGGGAGUACGUUCGCAAGAAUGAAACUCAAAGGAAUUGACGGGGGCCCGCACAAGCGGUGGAGCAUGUGGUUUAAUUCGAUGAUACGCGAGGAACCUUA